AGUAAAGGCCUGAGUAAAUUGUAUGAAUAUAUUCUAAAAUACGUACGUAAAAAACAAAAAUAAAAAGGCCGCGGGCCUCUUCCAAACAAAAGUAUGGACAUUCGUUAUGGGUGGGGGCGGGUUUUUAACCGAGUUCGCGGGACCUGCGAGCCGCACCGCGCUUAGGUCCCGGGCUGUGAGCGCGGGACCAGGACGGGCGUCCGCUCGCGGGAUGAGCACGACUCACCGGCCAAGGGGAGAGACCAGAAGGAAGCUGAAAUGAAAACCGGCACAUUUGGGAAUCGAAUCUAAUUGUUCAGACCCAAGAAAAGCAGGAUGGAAGUCAAUGUCAUCUAUGGCCACGCGUUUGCGGCCGGCAGCACCCCCACUUCUGCACUAGUGCUUGCGUCCACGUUGCGCCUCCGGCUUAGGACAGAACCACAGUGUGUCGCACUGAUCUGUGAUCCGUAACUCCUCGUGUUCUGAGUCAUCUCCCCUACGCGAGCUUGCAGGUAAAAGCCAUGCAGGCAGGUGGCUUCUCCCUG
This 524-nucleotide long non-coding RNA is filed under the name Oryctolagus cuniculus (rabbit). Its description in RNAcentral is "lncRNA (ENSOCUG00000035364.1)". Lineage: Eukaryota; Metazoa; Chordata; Mammalia; Lagomorpha; Leporidae. The record is from RNAcentral.